CCUACGGGUGGCAGCAGUGAGGAAUAUUGGUCAAUGGGCGCGAGCCUGAACCAGCCAAGUAGCGUGAAGGAUGACUGCCCUACGGGUUGUAAACUUCUUUUAUAAAGGAAUAAAGUGCGGCACGUGUGCCUUUUUGUAUGUACCUUAUGAAUAAGGAUAGGCUAACUCCGUGCCAGCAGCCGCGGUAAUACGGAGGAUCCGAGCGUUAUCCGGUAUUAUUUGGUUUAAAGGGAGCGUAGAUGGGUUGUUAAGUCAGGUGUGAAAGUUUGCGGCUCAACCGUAAAAUUGCAGUUGAUACUGGCAGUCUUGAGUACAGUUGAGGUAGGCGGAAUUCGUGGUGUAGCGGUGAAAUGCUUAGAUAUCACGAAGAACUCCGAUUGCGAAGGCAGCUUACUAAACUGCCACUGACAUUGAUGCUCGAAAGUGUGGGUAUCAAACAGGAUUAGAUACCCUUGUAGUC
Molecule: ribosomal RNA, 460 nt
Filed under: uncultured bacterium
Lineage: Bacteria
Description: partial 16S ribosomal RNA
Rfam family: Bacterial small subunit ribosomal RNA
Source: RNAcentral